Molecule: long non-coding RNA, 1130 nt
Filed under: Bemisia tabaci
Lineage: Eukaryota; Metazoa; Arthropoda; Insecta; Hemiptera; Aleyrodidae
Description: lncRNA ENSSSA2NGG003726
Source: RNAcentral
ACUUUUGUUAAUGUUGUUAAGUAUAAAUUAGACAUAAUGCGAAAAAGGCUAGAAACAGAGGAAAGAGAUGCAACAAGUCGAGCCAGUUUUAAAUGCCCCAACUGUUUGAAAACAUUCACUGAUCUCGAGGCGGAUCAGCUUUUUGAUUUUGUUACUCAAGAGUUCCGGUGCACGUAUUGUGGCUCAGUUGUGGAGGAAGAUCAGUCUGCUCUUCCGCGGCAAGAUUCUCGGCAAAUGAUGGUCAAGUUCAAUAGUCAAUUAGAACCAUUUUCGUUCUUCUGAGAGAGGUGGAAGGAAUUAGAUUAGCACCUAAAGUUUUAGAGCCAGAGCCUGUAGAUAUCAAUACAAUCAAAGGAUUGGAUACUAGAUCGAAUAGUAGCAAAUCCUCCGAGCAGUGGUCAGGAGAGGCAAGUCGGAAUCAAGGAUUUUUAGUAGAGGAAGCUAGAGUAGAUAUACAAUUUGGUGAUAAAGAAACGCCGAAGGAAACGAAUAAAAAGAAAGACCGAUCUGGAUGGUGGAAUCUACAGUUCUUCCAAAUGGUUUCAGUCAGACUAAUGUAAUCGUAGAAGAUACGGGUACUCCAGUUCCUACCAUCGAAAGUACAUCAUCGUCGAAAGGAGGUGAAGAUAUAAUGUCGUACCUGCUCCAGCAUGAACGGAAAGGCGGAGCAAAUCAAACUAGUUUAGCUGCAGCCAGCCUAGCAAAUCCAAGGGAUGAUCAUAGUGAUUCAAGUAAUGACAUGGACAAUAGCUUAGAUAAUCGACUCAAAGACUUCCAGUUGUCACAAGAUGUAGAGACUUUAGAAUCUGAAGAAGAGGAAGAAGAAAUGCCAUCUGUAACUGUCGGGGAUGUAAGCUAUUUACUAAGUGAAAUUGAUGACAAAGUCAUAGCUAAGAUGACGCAAGCUGAGAAAAAUAACUACAUAUCUGUUUAUCAAGACUAUUAUUCGAGAGUCUAUGAUUAGUUUCCAUCAUGUUUGGGUGGCAAAAGUAAUUUCAACUCUCAGUAAGUAUUUUCUCACCUUAUAUACUAUAAUAAAUAAAUUACUAGUGAAGGGUCUCUUGUCUCUGAAAGAAUUGCAGGAUUUUCCUCGGAAAUAUAAUAAGAGCACCAAAUAAUCUUUCUAAAUA